AGAACAUUCGGGUCGUCGGUCUACCAAUCAAUAUCACCUGCUCGGUAAAAGAUCAUCCCUUCAUCAU
Molecule: microRNA precursor, 67 nt
Filed under: Bombyx mori (domestic silkworm)
Lineage: Eukaryota; Metazoa; Arthropoda; Insecta; Lepidoptera; Bombycidae
Description: mir-2774 microRNA precursor family
Rfam family: mir-2774 microRNA precursor family
Source: Rfam by way of RNAcentral